GCCCACGUAGCUCAACGGAUAGAGUACUUGUCUUCGGAACAAGGGGUUGGGGGUUCGAGUCCCUCCGUGGGUA
Molecule: transfer RNA, 73 nt
Filed under: Chloroflexia bacterium
Lineage: Bacteria; Bacillati; Chloroflexota; Chloroflexia
Also listed under: 1 other name
Description: tRNA-Arg
Rfam family: tRNA
About the family: Transfer RNA (tRNA) molecules are approximately 80 nucleotides in length. Their secondary structure includes four short double-helical elements and three loops (D, anti-codon, and T loops).
Source: RNAcentral